GAUGAACGCUGGCGGCGUGCCUAAUACAUGCAAGUAGAACGCUGAAGGAGGAGCUUGCUCUUCUGGAUGAGUUGCGAACGGGUGAGUAACGCGUAGGUAACCUGCCUGGUAGCGGGGGAUAACUAUUGGAAACGAUAGCUAAUACCGCAUGACAACAGUUAUUGCAUGAUAACUGUUUAAAAGGGGCAACUGCUCCACUACCAGAUGACCUGCGUUGUAUUAGCUAGUUGGUGAGGUAACGGCUCACCAAGGCGACGAUACAUAGCCGACCUGAGAGGGUGAUCGGCCACACUGGGACUGAGACACGGCCCAGACUCCUACGGGAGGCAGCAGUAGGGAAUCUUCGGCAAUGGACGGAAGUCUGACCGAGCAACGCCGCGUGAGUGAAGAAGGUUUUCGGAUCGUAAAGCUCUGUUGUAAGAGAAGAACGAGUGUGAGAGUGGAAAGUUCACACUGUGACGGUAUCUUACCAGAAAGGGACGGCUAACUACGUG
Molecule: ribosomal RNA, 494 nt
Filed under: uncultured bacterium
Lineage: Bacteria
Description: partial 16S ribosomal RNA
Rfam family: Bacterial small subunit ribosomal RNA
Source: RNAcentral